UGCAGGAAAAUGGUGACGAUCUCGCUCUAGUGGUGAUCGAGGAGAGAUGUGAAGGAGGAAGCAUGGUGAUUGAGGAGAGGCUGGAGAUGGGAAGUAGGGAUGAGGAAGACAGAGACAAAUAAUCGAAUGGGUCCAUUUGAGUAUUGCAAAAUAUUCAUAAAAUCAGCAAAAUGGUGAGUGUGAUUCUGAAGGGAAUAAAAGAUAAAUUAAGACAUUUUUAUUGAAAUAGAAAAGAGAAGAAUGGAUAGGAAAAAAGCUGGAUCUCUGGUUGUGAAGAACAGGAUGAGAGCUGUUAAGGGUGGUACUAGAAAAUUGAAAAGACUUCAGUCAUCUAUAAAUUGUAACAGCAAGCAGAAAUGCAACAGGAAUGAAGGGGAUUGUGAGAGGAAAAAUGAUGAGUUGUAAACUAAUUUCAUACAAUGUUCGGGGCCUUAAUGAUAGGAAAAAAAGAAUGGUGACUAGGAGUAGUUUGAGCCAGUGAAAGCUAGAAGUUUGCUGUCUUCAAGGAACUAAAAUGGAGAUGAUUAGAAGAUGUGACAUCAAAUUUUUUGGAAGAUGAAGGAGGUGAGGUGGCACUUCAUUCCAGCAAAAAGGGCGGCAAGUGGUGCUAUGGAGGUUUAGAGAGAGGAUCAGUUUAUUUGCAAGGAUGUGGUUAAGCGUGACUACUCUAUUUCUUGCUUGUUCGAGUGUUGUGAUGGUGGGUUUCAAUGAGUAUUCACUGGGGUAUAUUGUUGGGGUUCAAGGGAGGAAAGGAGUGGGUUAUGGAGGGAAUUAGAGGAGUGUUCAAAUGGCGAAGUAAAUGGGUUUUGGGGGAGACGUCUAUAUGGUAUUGAUGAGGAGUGAGAAAUCAGGUAAGUAAUUUUCUAAAAGUAGGGCGGAGGAAUUUAGAGACAAAAUUGAUUUGGGGCUGGUGGACUUCCCAUCGAUGGAGGGAAGAUGGACCUGAACGAAUGGGAGAGAUU
RNAcentral lists this long non-coding RNA (962 nucleotides) under Carica papaya (papaya). RNAcentral describes it as "long non-coding RNA (CPAP_LNC000010)". Lineage: Eukaryota; Viridiplantae; Streptophyta; Magnoliopsida; Brassicales; Caricaceae. The record is from RNAcentral.